Molecule: small RNA, 4384 nt
Filed under: Histoplasma capsulatum
Lineage: Eukaryota; Fungi; Ascomycota; Eurotiomycetes; Onygenales; Ajellomycetaceae
Also listed under: 1 other name
Description: hypothetical RNA
Source: RNAcentral
CAGCUUCGCUGGUCGACAUAGCCUGGUGCAAAUUUGCCUGAUCUGCCUGGUGAUCUUGUCGUUGGUGCUGAAGCUUAGACACGUCUUUUUGAAUCGCCCGCUCCACAUUGGCAUCCUCUUCUUCGUCUCCGCGUGACGUGAUUUCAGCCGCUCCCAACGGUUUCCCGGGGGCCGUGUUGGUAGCGCGCAGAGGGGACUGUGAACCAUCCAUGGCGAGCGUGGUACUUUCAAGAUCUUGCAUCUGAGCAUCUGCACUGUUGGCGGACCGAGCAGACCUCACAGUAUGUCUGCUGUUUUGGUGGUUUUCUCGGUCCUCCAAAUUCAUCUUUUGCUUUGCUUCCUGGGCUUCUCGCACCAUCUCAUUAGAGUUGCCCAUUUUCUUCAGGUCUUUCUGAAUCAGCUUCCACCGAACGAUAACGUCUUUCUUUUCUGCAUCGGAGCUCUGCAGCCACUCCUCGUACCCUUGAACUACCCUCGACGCCCUGAUGUAAUUCUGCACAUUGCUGCCGAACAACUUCUGCACCUCUUUGCUGACCCCCUGCAUUGUAUGACCAAGGAUACCAAAGACGGCUGCGCCCGGCUUGGCUAUGAAUCCUCCAAUCCCUCUGCCGACUCCUUUGACAAAGCCGCUGGCACCCUCUUUCUGGGCGCCUUUCCAGGGCUGAGUGACCAGGCCAGUAACGCCAUCAUACCAGCCAAAGCCAAAUUCUCUUCCUACUGCCUUGAUGCCUGACUUUAAAUCGCUUGCCCUUUCUUGAGGGCGCACGGUAUCGUCUCCCCAAAGCUUAGGGAUAUUGUGAAACCCUCUCGUGAAAUUCACUGAAAGAUCCACAGGUGCCUGCACAACCGCCUUUACAAAACGUCCAGCGCCUUUGCUCAUAUGCACGCCAGUCGGGCGCAGCACGUCAGGGUCUUUGUCAGAGCCAGAUUCAUUCUGACUGAGGAAUCGACUUCGGCUGGCGUCAUCCUGUUUGGGAUUCAACUGGCCUUGUAAUGGACCGGGCAUAGUACUUGAUCCGACGUUUGAAGUGGGAGUUGACCGACCAGAGAGGUUGGGAGGGCUCCGAACAUAAGCAAGAGAGUCCUCCACAAUCAAGCUCAUCUCACUUUGUCCAGGCGAAAUCGAUGGACUUGAUCUUUCCCCUAUAUGUGAGGCCUCGCUUUUGUUCGCGAUAGUCGGCACUGAUGCUUGGGACUGCUGUCGGCUGCGUCCAGCCGGAAUCUGCAAAGCUCUCCAUGUCUCCGAGGGAACAUCAGCUAGACCCAUCAUCAUGCCGCUGACUGCCCCCAGAAAUGCCGUAAAACCUCCGGAGAUUGGAUCCCAGGGGCCUUCAUCGAUGUAAUGUUCUUGUGGUCUAAAGAGCUUCAAGUCUUGGAAAUCCAAAAGUUUUGCAUUUGCCAAAGUACAGGCAGCAAAAGCGCUCAACCUGACCUUGGUGCGCUUGACACGCCAUGCAGCGGGUCGAGAUGGUGCAAGGGUGCAACGGAGUCGGUCAGGCUUGAGAAAUUUAUGGAUCGACUGAGCACCCAUGUCGCUGCCUCGCUCCGCCGCGAUCUUGCUUGCGAGUUCUUUGGCGCGAUCCAGGCUUUCGGGUUUCAGACAGAAGUUGAUAGCAUCGGCUAGUUUGUCUGCUGUGAGUUGUUUGUGAGGGAUCGGAUCGGGGCCUGCACCUGCUCGCGCGACCAUGGCGCCCCAGAAAGACUGAUCUCCAAAGAAGGGAACGACUAAAGUCGGCCGGCCUGCGGUAAUGCCUGCCGCCGUGGUUCCUGCGCCACCAUGGUGCACGACGCAUGAGACGUGCUUAAAAAGCCAGUCAUGCGGCACGUUGCAUAGCAUGAAGACGCCAUCGGGGAUAUGAAGCUCAUCUGCGCCUAUGCCUCCCCAGCCUUUAGAAAGGAGGACACGCUGGCCAGUCUUCCUCACAGCCUUGAAAAUGAGUUCCGUCAUCGCAUUGGGAUCGUCCAAGACGAUGCUCCCGAAUCCUAUGUAGACGGGAGGUGGACCAUCGUCGAGAAAUGCCUGUAAGUCAGGGGCAGGGGUGUAGUUAGAGGCCAAGUUGAGAAAGCAGAACCCGGAGAUAGAUAUGUGAGAGCCCCAGUCUUUCGGUUUGGGUAUUAAAGCCGGAGACCAGCAGUAGGUGUGGGGGAUUUUGAGACGCUGGAGCAUUCCGGGGGCCCAGAUCAUACUUAGAGGGUCCAAACCAAGACAUUUUACGCGAAAUCGGUUGAUAAUGUCACCUAGGGCCUGCCACGAGAUGAGUUCGACCAUGGCGUAGCUAAUGUAAUUAGUAAGUUGAGGGUCGGCAUUCGAGGAUUGAAUGUUAACCAGGGGAUGAGGAAAGGCCUGGGUAGGAGAAUACGGCAUAGUGAACAUGAUAUGGAGCGGGAUGCCUAGCUUCUCUGCGCAAUGGAUAUGGGCAAAACUUGGGGGAUUGGCGAUGAUGCAGUCGGCAACAAAGUGUUCUGCUGUAGGCUUAGAGCCAGUGUCGUUCCCAGAGGGCUCGGAACGGCCAUUGUCGGCUCCGUCAUCGACUUUGUAACAUGAUCGCCAGCAGCCUUGAAUGUACUCGGCAACAUCUUUUCUUCGCUGGCCGACGUCUCCGCUUACUACACUGCGAAAGCCCGGCCUCAGGCCGGGAUUCUUGACCAUAAAGGCCAUUAGCCGGGUGGGGUCGCCGCCAAUGCUAAAGAAUUCCAGGCCAUGCUCCUGAACAAAGUUCUUGAAGGUGGGAUGAGUCGCUAGACGUACGCGAUGGCCGUAGGUGUCUUUUAAGACUUUCCCCAAGGCAACGAAGGGUUGCACGUCUCCGCGAGAGCCCACGACCUGAAUGACGAUGUUCAAGGGCGGUGGUGGAGGAACUCCCUUCUCGCCUCCUAGGGAAGGGGGAAUGUAUGGAGAGAGCGGGUGACUAUCUUGGACAUCCUGGACGUGUUGACGUAAAGCAGGAGUAAAAAAUAUCUGGGACAAAUGGCGAUUGAAGUGACUGAUGCGAAUGUCGACACGGCCAUCAUCGGUGAGACAGGCACUGGUGCCCGUGCCAUUCUUUUCGUCGCGGAUCUCGCCAUAUAUCUUGCCGUAAGCAGGAAGGGGCACGUCGUCCUCGGCCAGCUCUUGAUCGGUGACGUCGGUCUGAUGCAGGAGGGCAUUGUGUGUCGUGGGUCUUGUGGGAUUGGUCUGGGCGGCAGUGGCAGCUUGUGCUUGCUGAAGUGUGGAUUGCUGCACCACGGUCUCCGGGACGGGUUGGCCCAUUUCUAAGGGAGGUUGGGCGACCAUGGUGUGAAUGAGAAAAGGCAGGCUGGGUUCACCUCAUUCAGUCACGGCAUCAGUAUUAUCUGAGGCGAAUGGCUGGUGAGGUCACUAACUUUUGACCUCCAGGGCAACUGUUCGCCCUAGUGAGGUGACGCGGCUGCACCAGGAGGCUGUGAGCAAACCUUUUUGAUAUUUAUCCCCCCAGACUAGUAAUGUUGAAUAUCAGUCGCUUAUCGAAAAAUGUAGUAUGAUAUUCACCAUUACUAGUAAAGGGAGCUCAACCCACUCUACCCACCCACGAUUGGACAAUUCAAAUGCAACCUCUCUUACAUGGUGUGACAAAAGAGAUUUUGCGCAGUUAAAGGAUUGGGCAAAUAAGCAUGAGCAACUGCUCUUCAAAACUAACCACCAAGUCAGGGGUGAUUGUUAUGGCGAAAAAAUACCGUAAACAACACAGAUUUCUCCAUGCAUCAGUGCCUAAUUCAGUUAGCCCCCAUAUGCAUAUAAUCAAUCAAAGGGCUUAGAAGAACUCACAUGGCCCUAACACUACUCUGAUAUUUCAAAUUGUGAUGCCUUACGCCUGCUUGGAACAAUGCCAAUUCUAUUUGACCUGACCUACCAAUAGAGCACAAUAUAUGAAGAUUCAAAGCUGAAGAAGAGAAGAAAGGUUAAAGCUGCUUUGCAACUCGUUGCGAAUAAACAAAACCUCAUGCCCGAGAGGCCAGUCCCAGUGGUUAUGGCAGUGAGGUUGGGGUCAGUGCCGUCAUAUGCUGGUCUCACGUCUCACGCCUUGACCCCAGCCAGGCAUCAGCAUUUCUGGAGGACGUAAGGACAUUAUCAGGAAACAUUCUAUAUCAAGUAUGUCAGAUGGAAAGCAUAGAUAAAGAUGCUCUCUUGGACUGUUGUGAAAGAUGAAAAGAAAAUUGAACAACUUUCAUUACAACCCUGCCUACCUGAACUGUCAGUCAAUUUCUAAAUAAGAACCUAUAUAACUUUUAUCACUAAUUUCUCCCUCUCCUUUCUUUAACCGCAUUAGAGCGCUCAUUAGUGGCCCACUUUCUUUGUUGAUAAGGUUUAUGGCUUUACGUUCCCUUGUAUAAUUUCCUGAGCUCUACACCACGCCCAAAUUCCAUC